CAGCUCUCUGCCUCUGCGCUGGGCAGCUGUAACACCGCCUGGUUGGACGAUCACAGCGUCUCCAGUGUGGGAGACUCUGAGCUGAUCCAGGAUCUGAUCCAGGACCUGAGGGGGGGGGGCGAGGGUCUGCAGAAACCCCCUUCUCAUGGAGGCUCGAACCAGGUCUGGAGUCAGCGCUCUGCACACCGGGAACCACUUCCACACCUUCAGCGCAGCAGAGGGUCUGUUGUGUCUGAACUCUGAUCAGGAGGGGGGGCAGUGUGAGGACUACCAGGUGAGGUUCACCUGCUCCGGAGACUUCUGCUCAGAGUGCAGGACGCGAUGGUUUGACCACGACGACCCGACAGGAAACGGAAAUUUCGAGAUGCUCAACGACAUCGUGAACGUUUUCCCUCGAGAGAUCUGCUCCCAGCCGACGGCCAUCGAGGCUCAGACCGUCUCCGGAGAGCCGGUGGACACGACCAAUAACUUCCUGACAUAUGACGCCUCCUCCGGGGUUCUCCUGUGUGAACAAAGAUCAGAGCAGCAGGUGUGAGGAGCUACAGGGUCCGCUUCACCUGUCCCACAGACUUCUGUCAGGUGUCGGAGCAGUGCCGGACACAGUGGCUGAACAGUGACGACCCCUCGCAGGGCUGGGGGGACGUGGAGUCCAUCGCUCAGCUCCUCAAAACGUUCCCCCGGGUCGAGUCUGCAGAAACCCGCUCAGCAUCGAGGCCCAAACCCUCAGAGGAGUCUCAGCAGAGCACCACCGGAGACUCCUUCCUCUCAUAUGACACUACCUUUGGUUUGCGUGCAAUGAACGAGAAGCAGAGCAGCAACAGUGUGAGGACUAUCAGGUGAUCCUCACGUGUCCGUCAGACUUCUGUCAGGGCUGCAGGACGCGAUGGUUCGAUGAAGAUGACCCUUCAGAGCGAGGAGGACUUCGAGAUGCUGAUCCAGCUGAAGAUGAUGUUUCCUGAUGAGAUCUGCCAGCGAGCCAAUCAGCAUCGAGGCCAAACACUGAGCGGAGUCCCAGCCAAUCAGACAGGAGACCUGUUCCAGAUAUACGAUGCGUCUCGUGGCUUCGCCUGUGUGAACGCUGAGCAGCCGGGGGGGAGACUCUGUCAGGACUACAGGGUCAGACUCACCUGUCCUCAGGUGUUCUGCUCACUGUGACUCAGUACAGAGACACUCAGUUUCAUUUCCUUACCCUGAGUAGUGACUGUAUGACACUAUGUUAUGUUAUAUAAAGCACAUUAAAGGUGUAUCUGUAAGCUGUGCUGUGUGUUCUUCAUGCUGUCACACACUUCAGUU
Molecule: long non-coding RNA, 1293 nt
Organism: Trematomus bernacchii (emerald rockcod)
Lineage: Eukaryota; Metazoa; Chordata; Actinopteri; Perciformes; Nototheniidae
Exons: 9
Source: RefSeq, a predicted model, not a curated record